UGGUAAGCAACAAAAUCAUUGCCUAUCGAAUAAAACUUUGGCCCCUGACAGAAUGUUCAUAAAUAUAUGAACAUGAAAUUUGUAUUAGAAUAAGUGGAACAAAAUAAUAUACAGUUCACUAAAUAUCAAGUGAAAUGCUCGCCUAGCUGGUCAAAGUUCGUAAAUGAAUAAUUGAGCAGGCGCUGACUCUUUGGAAGCCCGUCUAGUGAACCCGUUGGUAGGGACAGAAGCCACUUUUAGCGUACAUAAGUGCACAGUUACCUUUUUUUACGUUCCUGGAACGUCACUUAAACGCUAUCAACGACUUUUGAAUUUGGCUUCUGCAUUGGAUGGUAAGGACGAAAUUAUUUGGUGUCGAACAGUUGGUUCACCAAACCCCAACAUCACAUGGAUUUACAACGGUAAGCUACGGUGGCUGAGGACAAUUAUUCGCAGCCAUAAGCCGUUAUGUUUCGGUAUAUAUUUAUAGCAUAAAAAUAUCUUAGACUUCGGUUAAUAACUUAGAAGAAGGCAUAUGCACUAUGUUUUUUUGGAUGGUUAUGUAGAUGAAUACAUAAUAUAUAUACAAAUUUGUGUCCAAUAAGAUAUUGUAAAAAAACAAGUAAGGAAGGACUAAGUUCGGGUGUAACCGAACAUUUUAUACUCUCGCAAUUUAUUGAUGUAAUUUUAUAAAGAUAACACAAGUCGACCCAUAUAUUCUGCAUAAAAUUCAAUAGAAUAACGAAAAUCAUCAUAAAUAGUAUAUGGGGACUGAGGUAAUUCCUAAACCGAUUUCACUCUUUUUCACCACCAAGAUACAAUAUAUCGAAGACUUUACGCUCACUUAAUUUAAU
Molecule: long non-coding RNA, 833 nt
Organism: Zeugodacus cucurbitae (melon fly)
Lineage: Eukaryota; Metazoa; Arthropoda; Insecta; Diptera; Tephritidae
Exons: 3
Source: RefSeq, a predicted model, not a curated record